CUGACCGCAACACACAGCAGCAGCGAUGGGGGAGGAGAAGCGGCACCAGUUGAUGCAGAACCUAUUCGGUGAUCAAUCUGAAGAGGAAGAGGAAGAGGUUGAUUCCGAGCAUGAGUCCAAUCCCCAGCCCAAUUCUGUAUGAUUCUCUAAUUUCAAGUUUCCUAUCUAUUCUGAUUCCAAAAGCAUGUUUGGGAAUGAUAAGGGUUUCAAUUUCUGCUUUAAUCUUUUAGCUGAAGGAAGAUAUAGGUUGUUUUUCUGUUAAUGGCGGUGGAUGAUUUGGAUGAAAGUGUGAAUCUUGGCGAUUUUUUUUGCUUGCAGUUGUUUAGGCCUAACUCCGCCUAUGUCUUACAUGGCCGGUCCCAAGCCCGGAUAAAAGAGGAGGGGGAGGGCGUCAGGUAGUCGACAGCCGGCACUCCAUGAUCACGUCGAAUCCUUAUGAAAAUGAAUCCAGAACAAAAUCGCGCUAAAGCUAGGGCGUCACCCGUAAGUGGCGCGCUGUGUGGCCCGAGCACAGUGAUAAGUGAGCAAGGGUCGCUGUAUCUCCAUCGGCACCCGGAUGCAGUGUUAAAUGAGCAAGGGGGCCAUAGAAACUUCUUUUCGAACGACUCCACUCAAAGUUGUUUGGGAGCAUAUGCUCCUAUCAACUUUACCCGGGACACACAAAAGAAGUACUUUGAUCCUAUUAGACGGGGGAGGGUGAAGAAGCUAGGACAGAAGGGUAGAGUUUAAGAGAGCAAAAUGCGUUUAGGAACGUGGAAUAUAGGAACCUUAACGGGAAAAUCUAUGGAAGUAGUGGAAGUUAUGGUGAGGAGAAGGAUAAAUAUUAUGUGCCUACAAGAAAACUAAGUGGGUUGGUAGUAAGGCAAAGGAUCUAGAAAACUCAGGGUUUAAACUUUGGUAUUCGGGCACAAAUAGAACGAGAAACGGUGUUGGCAUCAUCGUGGACAAGACCUUGGUACAAGAUGUUGUAGAUGUCAAGAGGGUCGGAGAUAGAAUCAUGGCAAUCAAGAUUGUAAUAGGACAAGAACUUAUCAAUGUGAUUAGUGCGUACGCACCUCAAGUAGGGUUGGAUACGAGUUCAAAGGAGAAAUUUUGGGAAGAUCUUGGAGACUUGGUGCAAGGAAUUGCUCAGACGGAGAAGUUAUUUAUAGGAGGAGAUUUAAAUGGACACGUGGGCAGGGAGACAGGCAACUAUGGAGGUUUUCAUGGUGGCCAUGGUUUUGGGGAGAGAAACGAGGAUGGGGAAGCUAUCUUGGAUUUUGCAAUGGCAUAUGAUCUCUUCUUAGCCAACACCUUCUUUAAGAAGAGAGAAGAACAUGUGAUCACCUACAAGAGUGGAUCGUCAAAAACACAAAUAGAUUUUCUUCUAAUGAGGAAAGGGGAUCGUAUAACUUGUAAGGAUUGCAAAGUUAUACCAGGAGAGAGCGUGGCUAAUCAACAUCGCUUGUUGGUGAUGGAUGUACAUAUCAAAAGAGUAAGACAAAAGAACAAGACUUGGAAGUGCCCAAGGACUAGAUGGUGGAAUCUAAAAGAAGAAAAACAAGUCAUUUUCAAAGAGAAGGUAAUCACCCAAUGUGUGUGGAAUAGAGAGGGGGAAGCUAGCCAAAUGUGGGAUUCCAUGGCUAGUUGUAUCCGAAAAGUAGCAAAAGAGGUAUUAGGAGAGUCCAAGGGCUUUGCCCCACACCAAAAGGAAUCUUGGUGGUGGAAUGAGGAGGUACAAACAAAGGUGAAGGCUAAGAAGGAAUGCUGUAAAGCCUUAUACAAGGAGAGGACCGAUGAAAAUGGUGAAAGGUAUAGAAAAGCGAAGCAAGAGGCGAAGAAAGCUGUCAGAGAAGCUAAGUUAGCGGCUUACGACGAUAUGUAUAAACGACUAGAUACCAAAGAAUGAGAGUUGGAUAUCUAUAAACUAUCUAGAGCAAGGGAAAAGAAGACAAGGGACCUAAACCAAGUGAGGUGCAUCAAGGAUGAGGAUGGAAAGGUUCUUGCUACAGAGAACGCGGUUAAAGACAGAUGGAGAGGUUAUUUUCAUAAUCUUUUCAAUGAAGGACAUGAAAUGAGUGCUUCUUUAGGGGAGUUGAGUAACUCAGAAGAGUGUAGAAACUACUCUUUUUAUCGUCGAAUCCGGAAGGAAGAAGUGGUUGUAGCUUUGAAGAAGAUGAAGCAUAAAAAAGCAAUAGGCCCAGACGAUAUACCAAUUGAAGUGUGGAAACUUUUGGGAGAGACAGGUAUAACAUGGCUCACUGACCUUUUCAAUAGGAUUUUGAAAACGAAGAAGAUGCCAAAUGAGUGGCGAACGAGCACUUUGGUGCCUAUCUACAAGAAUAAAGGCGACGUACAAAAUUGCAUGAACUAUAGGGGUAUUAAGCUAAUGAGUCAUACAAUGAAGCUCUGGGAGAGAGUCAUUGAGCAUAGAUUGAGGCAAGAGACACGGGUUUCGGACAACCAAUUCGGGUUCAUGCCAGGGCGCUCAACCAUGGAGGCAAUCUAUCUUUUACGAAGAUUGAUGGAAAGAUAUAGAGAUGGGAAAAAAGAUUUACACAUGGUCUUUAUAGAUUUGGAAAAAGCGUAUGAUAGGGUCCCAAGAGACAUUCUUUGGAGGAUUUUAGAGAAGAAAUGAGUACGAGUAGCAUAUAUCCAAGCUAUAAAGGAUAUGUAUGAAGGAGCAAAGACUGCCGUAAGAACUCAUGAAGGACAAACCGAAAGCUUUCCCAUAACUGUAGGAUUACAUCAAGGCUCAUCCUUAAGUCCUUACCUUUUUACGUUGGUAAUGGAUGAGUUAACAGGACAUAUUCAAGAUGAUAUUCCUUGGUGUAUGCUUUUCGCAGACGAUAGAGUGUUGAUAGAUGAAACUCAGGAAGGGGUAAAUGCAAAGCUUAACCUUUGGAGAGAAGUGUUGGAAUCUAAAGGUCUUCGCCUAAGCCGAUCAAAGACAGAAUAUAUGGAGUGCAAGUUCAGUGCAAAUGGAGGCCAAAACGAGUUAGGGGUGAGGAUCGGAGAUCAAGAAAUACCAAAGAGCGACCGUUUUCGUUACCUAGGAUCUAUCUUGCAAAAGAACGGAGAAUUAGAUGGAGAUCUCAACCACCAUAGAAUACAAGCUGGAUGGAUGAAGUGGAAGAGUGCAUCCGGCGUGUUAUGUGACCGCCGUAUGCCACUGAAGCUCAAAGGAAAAUUUUAUAGGACGGCAAUAAGGCCGGCGAUGCUGUAUGGCACAGAAUGUUGGGCGGUGAAACAUCAACACGUACACAAAAUGGGUGUAGCGGAGAUGAGGAUGCUUCGUUGGAUGUGUGGGCACACGAGAAAGGAUAAGAUUAGGAAUGAGGAUAUCCGGGGUUAAAGUAGGAGUAGCCGAAAUUGAAGGAAAGAUGAGAGAAAUCGGUUACGGUGGUUUGGGACAUGUGUGGACAUGUGCAAGAAGGCCUACUGACGCUUCGAUUAGAAGAUGCGACUAUGGGACAGAGGUUCAGGGCCGAAGGGGUAGAGGAAGACCUAGGAAAACUUUGGAAGAGACUCUAAGAAAAGACUUAGAGUACUUGGAUCUAACGAAGGACAUGACACAGGAUCGAGCGCAAUGGCGUUCUAAGAUUCAUAUAGCCGAUCCCACUCAGUGACUUGGAUUUUCCAAGUCUCCAACCAAGAAGUUUUCCUCACUUGAAAAAUUAAGGGAACACUACCCCAACCUACAUGCUCCACUCAGAAAGCUUCAACAUACAAGCUUCAACAAAAGAAAAUUCAAAGAACUUAGCGAAGAAGGCUUUGGUGUAUUUAACACAAUACGUUGAAAUGAAGGAAAGCUUAUUUAUUGAUAUCCCCGAUAAGCUACAAAUAUGUCCAUAUACAUGAAUCAAAAUAAACACACAAGAGGGAGCCUUCACAAAGGUUGCUUAGGAGAAGUCUGAGCAGUCGGUAGAGCUCCAGAAAGAGAAGGCACCGGAGGGGGAUCAUUUGGAGCCUCAGUACUGGACAGAACCUUAGAAGGAGGAGGCAUCAGAGGUUGAUCAUUUGGAGCUUCAUUACGCACUACAGCCCCAGAAGACGAAGGCAAUAAAUGCCUUUGGAACAAACCCACAAAUCUCUGAUGAUCAAGUAAAACCUGACCAUCAGUUUCCUUCAUCUGGUCAAGCUUCCUCUUCAUGUUUGUAGCAUAGUCAUGUGCGAGCCGGUGCAACUGUUUAUUCUCAUGCUUGAGCCCCCUAAUCUCCUGUUUGAGACUCAUCACUUCAGCCGCCAAUGAUUCAACUUGGCGGGUUCGAGCAAAUAGGCGUUGGGCCAUAUUAGACACAGAACCUGCACACUGAACACUAAGAGCCAGCGAAUCCUUAACAGCUAACUCAUCAGACCGUUUGGAAAGUAGUCUGUUAUCUUUGGGAGUGAGAAGGUUCCUGGCCACCACCGCAGCGGUCAUAUCAUUCUUCAUCACGGAAUCCCCAACGGUAAGAGGACCAGUAGGGGAGACGAAGGAUGGGCGCCAUAUGUUGUCUGGAGAAGGCGGGGCUGCCUCUUCAACAAGGUUCAAGUCAAAACGACGGUCAGAGGGGCCAGACAUUUUCAAAGGUGUUGAAGAGAGAAGAGGUCGGACAAAUCAAGAUCUUAGAAGUGCAAGAAUGAAGCUUCUACUGGUGGAGAUUCAAGUGUGCUUUGGAACUUAAUGCUUGAUUUAGCCCCUAUAAAAAUCUGCACUCGACGGAGCUUCAGAUAUCGAAGAGGCGCCUGCUCAGAAAUCGAAGAGGCGCUUUUCUUUGAUUCGAAAGCUCAGGCUGGCUUUGAGAAUCAAAGAGAAUCUCAGAAAUCGAACAGGCGUUUGCUUUCUCAAAAGUUGGGGCUGCUCAAAGACCACGAAAGCCGAUCUCAGAAAUCGAAGAGGCGUUGCUUUCUCAACUUCAAAGACUCACGGGGCCGAUCUCAGAAAUCGAAGAGGCGCUCGCUUUCUCAAAAGCUGGGCUCCCAGAGACCACGAGGGCCGAUCUCAGUAAUCGAAAAGGCACCUACUUUUCCAACCUUGUCAGCACCUGUCACACGCACACUCAGCUUUGCGGAAAUUAUGGGCAUUCUGUCGAAGACUUCUGGGGAAGGUAGAAAACACAUGAAUCUUACUGUUCAAUCACCCACUUCCCACACGCAACAAUAGCUCAUGGGUACCGCAGAUAACUUUGCCAAAGUUCUCUGCCAAAGUUGAGCACGUGAAGCUUGCAGCUCCCACUACAUCGCUCUGACCAAGAAGGGUAAAAGAAUAGCAAAGAAACAGCACUAACAAAGUUUAGACCCAUAAAUUUUGAAGGUCUAGCUACCAUAUUAUUACCCACAAGGGUAAAGGAACAGUACCACUGCUGGAUAAUUGGAAAGUCCCUGUGUGUCAACCUCUGUGCUUCGCGGCAAGAUAGACUAGCAAACAUGCCCAACCUUUACUCACAUUCGAGAAAACACUCCCAAUAAGAUUGCUUGCUCCAAAAUCGAAGAGGCACCGUCCUCCGAAUCUCGAGAACUAAACUCCCAACAUGACUACUUUCUUAAAAAUCGAAGAGAGGGUAAAGGAACAGUACCAUUGCUGGAUAAUUGGAAAGUCCCUGUGUGUCAACCUCUGUGCUUCGUGGCAAGGUGGACUAGCAAACAUGCCCAACCUUUACUCACAUUCGAGCAAACACUCCCAACAAGAUUGCUUGCUCCAAAAUCGAAGAGGCACCGCCCUCCGAAUCUCGAGAGCCAGACUCCCAACAUGAUUACUUUCUCAAAAAUCGAAGAGACAUUGCUCCCCGAAUCUUCGAGAGCCAGACCCCCAGCAUGAUUGCUUUCUCAAAAUCGAUGAGGCAUCGUUCUCCGAAUCAAUCGAAGAGGCGCUCGCUUUCUCAAAAGCUGGGCUGCUCAUAGACCACGAGGGCCGAUCUCAGAAAUCGAAGAGGCACCUACUUUUCUAGCCUUGUCAGCAUCUGUCACACGCACACUCAGCUUUGCAGAAAUUAUGGGCAUUCUGUCGAAGACUUCUGGUGAAGUAGAAAGCACAUGAAUCUUACUGUUAAAUCACCCACUUCCCACACGCAGUAAUAGCUCAUGGGUACCACAGAUAACUUUGCUAAAGUUCUCUGCCAAAGUUGAGCACGUGAAGCUUGCAGCUCCCACUACAUCGCUCUGACCAAGAAAGGUAAAAGAAUAGCAAAGAAACAGCACUAACAAAGUUUAGACACAUAAAUUUUGAAGGUCUAGCUACCAUAUUAUUACCCACAAGUGUAAAGGAACAGUACCACUGCUGGAUAAUUGGAAAGUCCCUGUGUGUCAACCUCUGUGCUUCGUGGCAAGGUAGACUAGCAAACAUGCCCAACCUUUACUCACAUUCGAGAAAACACUCCCAACAAGAUUGCUUGCUCCAAAAUCGUAGAGGCACCGUCCUCCGAAUCUUGAGAGCCAGACUCCCAACAUGACUACUUUCUCAAAAUCGAAGAGAGGGUAAAAUAACAGUACCAUUGCUGGAUAAUUGGAAAGUCCCUGUGUGUCAACCUUUGUGCUUCGUGGCAAGGUAGACUAGCAAACAUGCCCAACCUUUACUCACAUUCGAGAAAACACUCCCAACAAGAUUGCUUGCUCCAAAAUCGAAGAGGCACCGCCCUCCGAAUCUCGAGAGCCAGACUCCCAACAUGAUUACUUCCUCAAAAAUCGAAGAGACACUGCUCUCCGAAUCUCGAGAGCCAGACCCCCAGCAUGAUUGCUUUCUCAAAAAUCGAAGAGGGCAUCGUUCUCCGAAUCUCGAGAGCCAGAUACCACAGACCAUUUUUUCAAAAGUGCUCUGACAGAGUUAAAACAUGUGAAACUGGCAGCUCCCACUACCGUGCUAUGACCAAACAGGGUAAAUGAAUAGCAUUACUACUUGUUGUUAGGAAGACUCCUAUAUAUGUCGACCCCCAUCCCCAACGGACAGGCAGACCUGCAAAAAUGCUCAACCCUUCAUCAUAUCUGAGAGGACACUCCCAACGAAGCCUUUCGAAAUAUUCAGCUUUCUUUCCCCCCGAUAAUACCUCUACAAACAAGCUAUACUAGAGCAAGAAUAUCUCAUAUCAUCAGGGUUAAAAGCAAGAGUAUCCCAUAUCAUGCUUUUUCCCUAUCUUUUCCUUUGGCCUUGUUUUUACCUGCAAGACAAGGAGAAAGAGAGCAAUCAGUCAGCACUUGGAAUCAAGCUUCCAGCCAGGAACUGACUGCCUGGAACCCCUUACCUGAUUACUUACCUGGCAUUGCUCUCGAGUACUCAUCUUCAACAUCUUAUGUUUCCAGGGAAGAUUCCGCAUCUGCUUGAGGAACAGAUAGGGCAAGUGCGAAGGAUAUAAGGAAGCAUGUGGAGACAAGCGUAACAGCACACGUGCCGAUACAUCCAUUACUCUGUCAAAAGCAAAAGUAUCCCAUAUCAGCAGGGUGGAACGUACUCUAGAUUUGAUGGACUUGUUUUGACCCUCAAAUUCUUCAGUCGGCCUUAUACUCUGGAGGAAACCAGAAAACCCUCCAGCUCAGUUCAAGAAUAAGCCUGUGGAAAGUUACUUCUUCAAAAGCAAAAGUAUCUCAUAUCAUCUCUUCUCAUUUUUCUUCUCUUUAUCCUUCAUGCUGCUGCAAGAUGGGGAGAAGGUGAACAAUCAAUCGGAGCUCUGAUUGCUUACCUUGUCUGUCACCUCUUUCAGCAGACUCCUUAGCUCGGCGACUUGGGGGACUCCUACUACAUGGUUUGUAUCGCGCUUGACCAAGCCUGAAACUACAAGUAAGCUUCAAGUGAAAUUGAUACAUUACCUUGUGCAUCUCCACCAGUUAAAGAUACCACCCCUGGAUGGAGGAAGAGUACUUCCAGAGAAGAUGCCACAUCUACCUAUGAGACAGAUAAGGCAAGUCAAGACAACACCAUACUCCGAUACUUAGAAGUUUCGUGAUUACGAGAUCAUUCUCACACAAUAUUUCCUAAUGUCAUUUGUACUAAAUCAUUCACUUGUACUCACUAAAGGAGAGCUUGAACCUAUGUACUUGUGUAAACCCUUCACAAUUAAUGAGAACUCUUCUAUUCCGUGGACGUAGCCAAUCUGGGUGAACCACGUACAUCUUGUGUUUGCUUUCCUAUCUCUAUCCAUUUAUAUAUUUAUCCACACUAAUGACCGGAGCAAUCUAGCGAAGAUCACAAAAAGCGACCGUUUUCGCUACCUAGGAUCUAUCUUGCAAGAGAACGGAGAAUUAGAUGGAGAUCUCAACCAUAGAAUACGAGCUGGAUGGAUUAAGUGUAAGAGUGCAUCCAGCGUGUUGUGUGACCGUCGUAGGCCACUGAAGCUCAAGGGAAAAUUUUAUAGGAUGGCAAUAAGGCCAGCGAUGUUGUAUGGCACAGAAUGUUGGGCGGUGAAGCAUCAACACGUACACAAAAUGGGUGUAGCGGAGAUGAGGAUGCUUCGUGGGAUGUGUGGGCACACGAGAAAGGAUAAGAUUGGGAAUGAGGAUAUCCGAGGUAAAGUAGGAGUAGCCGAAAUUGUAGGAAAGAUGAGAGAAAAUCGGCUCCGGUGAUUUGGACAUGUGCAAAGAAGGCCGACUGACGCUCCGGUUCGAAGAUGUGACUACGGGACAGAGGUUCAGGGCCAAAGGGGUAGAGGAAGACCUAGGAAAAUUUUGGAAGAGACUCUAAGAAAAGACUUAGAGUACUUAGAUCUAACGGAGGACAUGACACAAAACCGAGCGCAAUGGCGUUCUAGGAUUCAUAUAGCCGACCCCACUUAGUGGGAAAAGGCUUUGUUGUUGUUGUUGUUGUUGUUGCAGUUGUUUAGGCCUGGACUGAAGAAGUUUUGUAGAAUGAGAUUCUUAUGAGUAGUCAAUUUUAGUGGGAUUGUUGUUUCAAUCUAGAUAAUGAAUGAUGUCGUUUCCCUAUUCGGUCUGUCCUUUGACAGUGUAGCAGAUCUGGAAUUUUGUGAAAUGCUCUUUAUUGAGAAUGAAGAGCCACAAAUUGAAGACGAAUAAAAAAAAUUUGCAUGUUCUGAUUAGAAAUAUAGAAUUGGUUUUAAAUUAUUUUCUUGACUGUUUGGUUCUGAUGUGCUUUACCGAUAAAUCAUGGGUUUGCAAGAUAUUUUUUGUUGUUUUCUCUUGCCGUUGACUGGGGAUGUGGGUGAUCCUGUUACCCUGUACACCGCAGUACAGGGCGGUAACAAGAUUAUCUAUUGUGCUACUGCACUCUCUAUAAUCAGCGGAGACCUCUAUAGGGCUGAUCAAGGAGGGGUCUACAAUCUUACCAAAGCAUUUCAGGUGUGGUCGUUAUUGCCAUAUCCUUGAAAUGCUCCUUUUUUACAUUUAGUAAUCUGUUUCGGUUUUGAUGUCUUUUAAGUUCUUGGGUUUGUUCAAUGUUGGAUUUGAAUUUUACCCUUCGAGAGUCGCUUAUGUGAAGCUUUUGACUGUUUGCAUUGCAGGACUAUAACAACAAAAUGGCGCAAUUACGAGCAGGAAAGAGUGGCAAGAGCAAACUUACAAUUGUAAAGUUCAAGACUCUGGAGUCAGUGGAUGGAUGGGAAGUUCGUCAGGGGACUUAUUUUCAGGAUGUGGUUGCUUCCAAGUAUGAUGGAGGAAUGGAUGCCAAGUUCGAAUUCACUUCACCAGAGAUGCUGUUUUCUUUUACUCUAUUUCUUGCUGCAUUGUAGGAUAUGUUUUCACCACGGGAGGGUAUAUUGAGCUGUCUGAAAAGCUUUCACUUCCUUUGGGUCAAACCCUCGACCGGUAUAUGCCAUAUUUGCAUUCUCAAAUGGAGCUACUAAGCUAAAAGCAGCUUCCCAAAAUAAAAUUCAUGGUAUUUUUCUUAUUAUUAUUUUCUUAGAAUUUGAACACAAAAUGAAUUCAUUUAAUAGAAAAUCAUUUGCAACAGAAAUUACCUGAUGAAUUUGCUGCACAGCUACGACAUUCUAACAACAUUUAGUCAAUUUGAGAAGCAAGCUGUGCAAGUUAAGUUGCAUUCUGUUUACUUAAUUUUCUGUGUUUUUUCUUUUGCUGUUUGGAUUUAGGAGCUAAAACAUUCGUCUUUUGCAAUGUUUUUAGGUGGAUGAUGCUAUCUGGGCUGCUGAAAAAGCCACAUUUAAAGCUGAGAUGAGUGGAAAGAAGCUAAUGCACUCAUGGAACAACUUCAGACAUUUCAAGCGUGGCUUUGGGAUUCUGCAACAGUCCCGGGUUUGAGGAUUACAUAAAAAGAGGGCUGGAACCCAGCUAGUCGAAGCUGGGGGGCUAGGCCCUCACGCCCAUAAUAUAUUACUUGAAAAAAAAGACAUACAACGGGAGGGACAUAAUACUUAAACCCCAAUGAUAAAAAAGCAAAAUCAUAUACAACCACUCUAAGCAAUCAACAUGGGCAUCACAUAUUGAAUCCAAAAGGUUGACGCCCCAUAUAAUUGAAAAUAAGGAAAUUAAAGAGACUAAAAAAGAAUAAUUGAAGUUGGUGGGUGAGAAAGCAAAAGUGUGGACGACGAAAUCUUUGAUCCAUAUGGUAUGUCAUCUGAAAAGAAAAAUAAAAUGCUGGUGACAAUGAAUGAAGAAUUGAAAGUAAGAAACGAGAUUGGCAUGUAUUUCAGAGUUUAUACUGAAUUAGGCUAGUGUAAAUUGAAAUAAGUUAGAAAACGCACCUUAACGAAUGUCAAUGUGUGGGAUGUGUGCAAUCUUAGGCCAGUCCUCACCUGUUUCUUUCCGGCACCUUGCGCUUAAAAUGGGGCAACAAAGAAUGUGCAAUGUAGAAAGACAGGGGAGUGCACGAGUCCCUUCUGGCAGUGAAGUUAGAUUAGGACACCAGUUGAUAUACAACGUAGAAAGACAGGGAAAAGAAGGGAACGACAUAUUUUCCGUUGAUGAAGAAGAAGAAGCACUGUUUUGAGUGUGCGCCCUCCACCAUCCCUUCAGAACAGGGCAAUGUGCUAUGGAGAGCUGCUCCAGGGAGGGAAAGAGUGAGAUCCUCAUCAUCUCAUCACUCAUACUAUUACUGCUCUCUUUCUCUGAUAUGUACUCCAACUUCUCCAAACAUCGAAGUUCAAGGGACUUAAGGGAAGGCAAAUGAUCCAAGGGUGGAAGAUGUUGGCAUCUCUCACAUCCAUUCAAUCUGAGAUUAACAAUAUUAAUGAGAGAAGAAACCCAACUCGCAAACCUCACACCACCAUAUAAGUUUAUGGACAACUGCUUUAGAUUAGAAUGGGGUUGCAAUACUUCCAUUGACUUUAUAAUAUCCUCCUCAUCAACUGCGCUUACAUCUUCUCCAAGUUUCCAGGAUAAAUCCAACGAAUGGAGAUGCUGUUUGUCCUUGAGAGGUGUACCAACAUUUGAUUCUGACACCACAUCUUUCUCCUGCCUCAAAUUGCUUAUGACUAAUUUUCCCCUUAAUUCGUUAAGGGUCCCCAGCUCAGCAAGACCAGCACUACCGCCCCUCCCCAAACAAUUGCUUUCGCUCAAAACAAAUCUAUUCAAUGUACGAACACCUUUCAAUUCACCAAUUCCACGUGGCAUUCCACUCAAUCCCCAACAGCCUUCCAAGAUGAGAUGCCUUAAGUUGAACAUUUUUUUAAUGUCUCUAGGCAAUUCCACAAGACUCUGACACCAACUGAGAUCUAGUGUUUCCAAAUUCGAAAGUCCAACUAUCCAACCUGGAAGUUUAUUGAUGCCAGAAUUACGACUAAGAUCAAGAUAUCUCAAAUAUUUCAUUUUUCUAAGACAUUUAGGUACUCCUUUAAUUCCUAAUUUACUGAGACUCAAUAUACGCAAUGACUUAAAAUUUGAAACAAUUAUAGCACAAAAUGAAUCACAUAAUGACCCAUCUAUAUCACUCAACUCAUUCUGGCAAAGAAAAAGAAAAGUUCGUAUCUUUUUUGCUUUUGGCAACGAAGUUGGCACUUCCCAUUCUGACGGAUCGACUUGAAAAUUGAAAGAUACAUGACGAAGCUUUUCAUGAAAAUUCUUUUGGUCUGGUUCAACUACGACGCUUCCAAUCCCCGACACUAAGAUUGCAAGUUCAUUCAUGAGAUCAUGCAUUUUACAACUUCUUAUUAUACCAAACUCAUCUUUUUCUUCUUCUUGAAAAAACGAUCUCCACAACAACUCCCUGUAAUAUUCAUACGCAACAUCCUCCAAACCCUUGUUUUCAUCGGAUGACUUAAUGAACCCUUGCGCCACCCAAAGUCUAAUCAAUCUCUGCACAAAGAUCUUAUAAUCAGGUGGGAACAAGCUACAAUAAGCAAAACAAUGCUUCAAAUGUGAUGGGAGCACAUCAUAACUCAAUUUAAGUGUUGGUAAAAUAUCAUUUUCUUCUUGACUUAUUUUUGAAAGUUCCUUUUCUUUGAAAUUCAACCAAUCACUUUCGUCAUCUUUGGCAAACAACAUCCCACCUAUCGUCCUUAUAGCAAGUGGAACUCCCUGACAUUUUCUUGCAACCUCUUUCGCAACUGCCUUAAUUGUUGAAUUCUCUGUCUCCUUUCCAUCUUUAUAAGCCAUUUUCUUAAAUAAAGACCAACUUUGCUCUUCAUUCAAACCCUUUAAGGUGUAUGAUUUAGCUGUGUCUGAUAUCGUCGCAACGGUUUUACUACGAGUGGUUAUUAGUAUUCUACUACCUUCUCCACCACCCAUUAACAAGUUCUUCAAGCUAAGCCACUUCUCUCGAUCCUCAUUCCACACAUCAUCCAACACAAGUAGGUACUUCUUCCUAGCUACUUUUUUCCUAAGAUCUUUUUGCAACUGCUCAAUCUCGUCAUGAUUUUUGGAUUGAAGGAUUUUCUUAACAACUAUAUCCAACUCAAAUGCAUUAGAGACGCAUGUCCAUAUUUUCAACUCAAAAUGAUUUUGAAUCACCUUAUUGUUGAAUAUGAGUUGGGCAAGUGCAGUUUUCCCCAAUCCCCCAAUUCCAACUAUGGAAAUGGUUGACACAUUCUUAGUUGAGAUAGGAUCCAACAAAAGUUGGAUAAUAGCCUUAGUAUCUUCAUCCCUCCCUACAAUAUUUUCCUCAGGGACAAAUGAGUGAGUGACCCUCUCUCUCUUUAUAAAUCGUGUAUCUUCAUGGUUGUCUUUUAAGUCACUGGGUCUACGAGAUGCAACCUCACUAAUCCUCUUGUUAAUGUUUUUUAUCUUGUGACCCAUCUUUAGCCCAAACACAAGUUGAUUUGAGUUAGAAAAGAAAAGGUGCACCUAUAAGAAUUUGAGUAGACAUAAUCAUUAUUUUGAUAGAAGGAUAUUAAUUAAGUUAAUAGAGUUUUGUAAUAGUAGGUUAUAUGAAACAUUCAAAAUAAUAAUGUAGAAGACUUCCUGCAAUUAAUUAUGAGUUAUUUAGAGAUCUAUUGUAUUCCUAAUAGGUGGAUAUCAAUAGGCUUAUGUGACUAUGAAAAGGUUAUACGUGAUUUAACCGCACAAAGCCUCUAAUAUCUUUUUAGUCAAAUGACUUUGGAUGUGAUUCCUAGUCACCAAUAGUGUUUGACAGAAACCUUGUUAGCUUUUUUUUUUCUUUCUUUUUUUAAUCAAAAUCAUUGACUUUGUACAUCUCAUUAUAUUGAUAUUAAUGUAUUUCCAUGUCAACUAUCUAUUUUUGAAAUUCCUUAAUUUAUGGACUUCAAACUUUAUAAUAAACUAUUCCCUUAAAAGAGUAUAAAAGAAACAAUAAAUAGUAAAAUUUGAAACCAACAAAACAUUAAUCUACUAAUAAUCAAGCGAGUACCUUCUAAACACAUAAAAAAAAUGUUUACAUAUAAUUGGAUUCUCAUAGACACGAAUCCAAAACAAGAAUUGCAAAAUCAUACAUAUAUACAUAUAUAUAUAUAUAUAUGGGUACAUUUUGCAUAGAAAUGUAUCCAUGAGACUAAAAAAUGCAUUCAACUCAUAUAUCAUAUAUGGGUACAUUCUAAACUCAUAAAAAACAAUAAAUGCUGCUAAAUCCACCCCAUUAUCUUAUUUUUCUACUCACUUUUUAGUGGAAGUGUUAAUUACAUAUUUAUUCUUUUAUAAAAAGACUUUUAGAGCAUCUACAAAAGAUAUGUCAAAUAUAGUAUGUUAAAAUUUUAUUUGAUGGCUGAUGUGGCAAAUUGAAUACAAGUGUUAAAUCUUCUUAUUUUACAAUGGAUGUGUCAAAUAUUUAUUUUAUUAUUUUAUUGUGCCUAGAAUUACAUUAACUACUAAAAAAUAAUCAAAAUUAGUUUUAAUUUGUAUUAUAUUGGUUGUUAAUGAGAUUCAUGCAUUAAAAAAAAUAUUAAAUAUAUUUGACUCCUUCUUUAUUUGCUGUUAAAAAAGGCAGCUAGAAAGCAAAAAGUCAAAUGACUCACAUGUCAUAUCAUAUAUGAUAUAUCUAUUGAAGAACACUUGAAUAUCUUUUAAUCCUAUUUGACAUAUUUAACAUUUCUUUUGAAGAUGGUCUUAGACCCUUAUUUAUAAAUUCAUUAUAAUUUUUUUUUUUAAGAAAAGAGAACAAAAGGCCAAACAACCAAAGCCCACCAUACAUCCCGACUUACACAACCCCUCUCCUUACCGCCGCCGCCAAAACCCCCCAUUUUCCAGGCGCUAUCUCUCACCUGCACCAGUAUACCAUAUCCAGAUCUAAGAAACCUCCCAAGGCGCCAAACCCACUCACACCCAUCAAACAAAGAUAUCAAUUCCUCUCAACUACAGAUCUAGGAAAGCAGUAUACAUGAACUUGGAUGGAGAAGUGUGAGAGAGUAGGUCUUUCUCUCAACACAGACUCAUAGUCUCUCUCUUUCUCUCUCAAGUAAACCUUUCACAAUAGGUAGAUUAUGGAUAUGGGUGGAGAGGUGAAGAGAGAGAAAUGGAGGUUUUACCGUCCGGACGGGAUACGUCAAGAGAUUGGGUGGAUCGGUGGUAAAGGAAAAGUGGAGAAAAAGAGUGGCUUUUUUUUUUCUUUGAAGUUUUCAUUUGAAGAGCGAGACAAUGUUUCUUUCUUUGUUGGAUAUUUCCCAGACGUUAUUUUAGAAAUAAAGUGAGUGAAAAAAUAAUAUUUUAAUUUUUUACGCUUUUUAAGAUAGAUGAGAUUAUAAUAUGAGUAAAAAAAUAUGACAAUAAAGAGAGUCUAGCAGCAUUCAAAACAAUUGCAAUUGUACCUAUUACAUAUAUACGGAAGGUAUAAUUGUAGUGUUUUUAUUUUUGGACAAAGGAAGGUAUAAUUGUAGUUACUUGUCAAAAGAAAGUACCCAUACAAUUGCCAUAUAUAAUUAUGGUACAAUUCCUGCAUCCUCCCAAAAGUAAAUUGUUUUCAUGUGUGCACCCCAAAGUUUUUUUUUUAUAAAAAAAUGUACCCGUAUAAUUAGACACAAAUUUCAAAAGAAUGUACCCAUUUAGAUUUAUAAAAAAAAAAAAGAAAAAAAAAGGAGGGCAUCCAUAAGCGUUCUAGCAAAUAAAAUGGACCCAUGAUUAUUAAUAAAGAUUGAUAAAUUCAGUCAAACGAAAAAUGAGAUGAAACUAUUGGAACGUAUAAAAAUUCAUAUUUUAGUUUCAAAUUAAAGGGAUGUUAGGGAUAUCUAGCUGCAAUAAAAUCCCUUAAAUGAUGUAAAUGAUCAAUUAUCCUAAACAGAAAUGAUAUAAAAGGAAAUGUUUAAAUAAAAAGAAAAGGAAAAUCUGACAUGGAAUUUAAUUAAUUUUAAAAAUUUGAUAUGGACAUAAGUCAAAGGCCUUCAAACAAAAAUUUAAAACUAAAAAUGUUUCAUCAAUAAACAUUAGUGACUUGGGAUCAGACUUAAUUAUCCCCAUUUUUUAUUUUAUGACGCAUCUUUAACCCAGUAACAAGUUCAUUUGAGCUAGAAAAAAAGGGCGUAAAUGUAAGAAUUUGGGUAGACACCAUCAUUAGGUCAAUAGAAUUGUAUUAAUUAAGUUAAUAGAAUUUUGUAAUGCUAAGUUAUAUGAAACAUUCAAAACAAUAAUGUUGGGGAUUUAUUACAAUUAAUUAUGAGUUAUUAAGAAACCUAUUGUAUUCCUGAUAAGUGGAUAUCAAUAGGCUUAUGUGACUACAGAAAGGCUCUACGAGAUGCAUCCUCACCAAGCUUCUUGUUAGUAUCUUUUAUCUUAUGAUCCAUCUUUAGUCCAAAAGCAAGUUGAUUUGAGUAAGUUAGAGAAGAAGAGGCGUACCUUUUUUGACACCUUUGUAUUUUCUGGCACCAUUUGUCUUUGUUGAGCUUUAGUAUUAAACUCAUCCAGCACAUCAUCGGCUUCAUAGACUGCAUCUUCUACGCUUUGGAGCCACAAUUUGACUUCAUUGUUGGCUUGCUUUUGCUCAGCGUCAAGAAGAACAGCUUGGAAUGCUACAACUGUCUCCUUAAGCUUCUGGAACUCAUCUUGGACACCCCAGAUCAAUCCAAUCUCUUGGAAAGCAAGGGAGCCUAGCCUUCCGAUGAUCCCUUCUGCAAUGUUGAAGAGAACUCCUUCCGCCAUUUCUUGUAUUCAGGACAAGCAAAAACACAAGUGAAGUGAAUUAAGGUAGAAACCUAUAACUGAGAAUAUGGUUUUGCGUAGUACUAGAUAGCUCGUCCCUGCUCGUCUUUAUAUGCCCACUCAUCCAACCACUCAUACGUUAUUCCAUGAAUAAAUUAAAAACAAAGACUUGUCACCAAUUCACUAAUGCCAACCUGGUCCUUAACGUUUAGUUGCAUUUUUAAACCCAUCUGCAAUUUUAUCAGUUGGUGAAACACAAUUAUAAAUGGACCAAAACUAAAUAUACGCCACCAAUAUAUAUUGAAUUAAUUGCACUCUUGUCCGACUACCCAUACACCAUUCCAUACAUAAAAUAAAAACAAAGCCUUGUAGCAAUAUCACUAACGCCAGCUUGCUUCUUAACUUUAUGUUGUAUUUUUAAAAUCCACUUGUAAUUUUAUGGUUUUGCGUCGUGAAAGAUGCCCCUCCUGAUGGUCUUUAAUCUCUGUAUGCCCUUCUCUCAUCCAGCCAUUCACACAUUUUGACCGAUGGUUUGGUUCCACUGGUUAAUAUAUUAAAGGAAACUUUAACAAAAAGUUUUCGAUACUAUUUAUUUUAACAAAAAAUCAUAUUUUUACUAUAAAAAGUCAAUCCUGGUACUAUGUAUUUUACCCUUUAUUUUGUUCUUAUCAUUAAAACUUAAAAUUUUCAAAUAAUUUUUAUUAGUUUUCCUUAUAUUAAAUCCAUUUGCAAUUUUGUUGGUAACUCUUGUACUAAUUUAUUUAUGGAAAAAUUAGGUUCUCAUCCUUCAUUUUGCUACUUCAUUGAUUAAAAUCAUAUUCCUUUUCAAAUUUUUAUCAAGGUCCUUUGGUAUUAAUAACAUCAUUAAUUAUUUUAAUAAUAAAAUAUUUUUUUAUUUCUAAAUAUAUUCAUUUAAUUUUAAAAAUGUUACAAUUAGUAUAUUUAUAUUUAUGACUUAAUUUUUUAUCAUAUAUUUUUAGUUUUAGUUUGUACCCAUUUUUAAUUUGUAAUUCUUUUUUAAUUUGUAUCAAUUUUCUUUUCAAUUUUAAUUUGUACCAAUAUAUAUAUAUAUAUUUUUUUUGUGCCCAUAUUUUUUAAAGUUUAUUUGUAUUUGUACCCAUAUAUUUUUUUAUUUGUACUUUUUAUUUUGCUAAAUGUACACAUGCUAAUUAUAUGUACCCAUUCAUGUAAAACUUUUUAAUCUUAAAAUGUACUUAUUCUUAAAUAUACCAAUUUGUUAUAUUUAAAAUGUACCCUUUUUUUUUUAUAUAAAAUCUAUUCAAUUUUUUUCUAAUCCAUUUUUAAACUUAUAUGGGUACAUUCUUUUUUUCUUUGAUUUUAAAUGUAUCCAUGUCAAGUUUAAUCGAAGAAGUUUACUAAUGUUAUUAAGCUAUUAUCUUCUUCUUCUUUUUUGUGAUUUUGAAGAAUGUACCCAUGUUUUGAUACAAUAAUUUUUUUGGUUAAAUUUGAUGAAUGUACCCAUGUUUAUAUAUACACACACACAAUAGUAUAUUUAUAUUUUAAUAUUUUUAAUCCCACAAAUUAUGGUUUUUUAUUUAAAAUCUCAUUUAUAUAAACAACUAAAAUUUCUAAUUUUUAAUUUAAAAAAUAUAGUAACGUACAUAGAAAUAAAUUAUCACAUUAAUUUCAGGGACUUCGAUCAAAAAUUAAAAAUCAACAAGAUUUCAAUAAAAGAAUAUUCAUAGCUAAGGACCGCAUCCAAAGUCUCCCUUUAUUUAUUCAUCCAUCCUCACAAAUUAAUAAAUUAUAGCCGUUGGUUCGGUUCCCCUCCUUUUAUUUCCCUCUACUUUUGUGUUCCCACGCCAUCACGUGGCCACCCCUUAAAUCCGGCUCUCCCCACAGGAUUUAGAGAGAUUUUUCAAUGUGACCGGUAUAUGGGAUGAUACAUCACGUGUCACUAUAUAAAUAGUGGGAUAUGUGUGCUAAAAAGUUAAUAACUUAUAAAAUAAAAUUUCGCACCACUUCUAUUGAAAUACAUGUUAUACCACUUGUAUUCCUAUCAUAAUUAAAAAUUUCUAUAAUAUUUGGAUCCAAAUUCCUCCCCACAUGUUCUCUCCCACACACCCGGCCCACACUCUACCAUAUUAAUAUACCCGCCAUUUGCUCAUUUGUACACCCAGCUAUGCACGUUUCACACUCGGCACUUCCAAACACUCACACAUGAUUUCAUGUAUAAAAUAAAAACAAAGACGUGUCAAUAUGCUAUUGCAUGAGAGAUUUUUCAAUGUGACUAUCACAUGAGGUGGUACAUCAUGUGUUCCUAUAUAAAUGAUGGAAUAUGUAUGUUAAAAGAUUAAUAACUUAAAAAUUAAAUUUUUUUACCAUUUACAUAAAAACACAUGAUAUACCAUCUGUGUUCCCAUCACAACUAAAAAUUUCUCUUAUUUGCUAGUCUUAAUAAUUCAAAUUUGAUUUUUAAUACCAGCUGGUCCUUCACACUUCUUAACUUUUCGGCAGGCUGCUGCACGUUCCUUAUUUUUGGGCAAACCGCUGCACGUUUUUUUUUUUAAUUUUUGGGCAGACCGCUGCACGUUUUUUUUAAAAAAAAAUUUGGGCAGGCCGCUGCACGUUGUUUUUUUAUUUUUGGCAGACCUCUGCACGUUUCUACUAUUUUGUCAAGUAUCUUUAUCUUAUAAGAUGUAAGAUGGAAGAUUGAGAUUGUUUUGAUAGAAGUAUGAAGAUUGCCAAAACUAUGUAAAGUUAGGACACUAGUAGCACGUUUAUUAAUCCGUAAUCAGAUUGAGAGGAAUUGAAUUGAAAAUGAAUUGGAUUGAUGAGAAAUUAUAAUGAGGUGUAAUCAGAAUUAGAUUCUUGUUGAAGUUGUUUACCAAAACUGUCUGAAAUCGGAGUAGGAAUGACAUUGAUGCAUAUAAAUUAUUUACUAAUUCACAUGAAUCAGAAUGAUAACUAAUGUGAUUCCUAAAGUACCCCUACUUAAACUAAUUUAUUGUAUAUGCUAAUUAUUUUUAGUAAAACUUUUAUUCUUUUAUUUUUUUUUUAAUUUUUUACUAGAGAGAAUAAUUUUUUAUCUUUUAUAAAACUUUUAAAUUUUCCUAAUCGCAUAGAUUACUUCCAAAUUUGAUAUGAAAGAAUAGUUUUUUAUUUGCUUCUAACUCUUAAUCACCCUAAACCCUAUUAGAAAUAGGGAACUUUAAUGAAAAGUGUAGACAUCGAAAUUUCGGUAAAUAAAUGUUGACCGAUAAAUCAAAGUGUCAACGCUCAUGUAUUGCAUAAAUUUUACACGUAGCAUGUGACUCAACGAAAAUUGAAAUGAGUUUGAAAAGUCAUCAAAUAAGACACGUGUCAACACCUGGCAGAAACGACUUAUUUCAUCUGGGAUAUUAUAUUCAAAAUUAGGUCUUGGAAAAUUCUAUAAAUACAAGCCCAUUUCAUUCAUUUGGGGGGACCAAUUCAUUAGGCAAAACUCUUGAAGCUCUGAAGCUCUGAAACUCCGAAGCUCUCAAGUAUCCAGGUUCCCGAAGAAUCAAGAAAGCGUUAUUCGUUCAUCGUUCAUCCUAAGAUCAAGCCCCAACGGCCCUUUGGAUCAACAAUCAUCCACCAAUUCAAGAUCAAGCCCCGACGGCCCUUGAAGAAAGUGUUCUUCGUUCAUUGUUCUUCCAAGAUCAAGCCCCGACGGCCCUUGGAUCAACCAUCCACCAAUUCAAGAUCAAGCCCCGACGGCCCUUGAAGAAAGCACCAUCGUUCAUCAUCCGUUCAUCCAAGAUCAAGCCCCAACGGCCCUUUGGAUCAACAACGUCGACAAAUCCACACAUCCAACCGUUCUUCAAGAUCAAGCCCAAAAGCCCUUGAAGAUCCGUUCAUCACUGUUCUUCAAGAUCAAGCUCAAAAGCCCUUGGAGAUCCGUUCAUCACUGUUCUUCAAAGAUCAAGCCCAAAAGCCCCUUUGAAGAUCCGCUCAAAUCCACAUUCAAGAUCAAGUUCACGGCCCUUGAAGAACGUUCAUCCUUAGAUCAAGCCCAACGGCCCUUUGGAUCAAUCACACAUCCACAAAUACACACCUUACGGAGAUCGAAUCAGAGGAUCAAAUUUGAGAGAGAUUGUAACCCAAAAACAUCAUCAAAUACAUAAUAUUUGUUUGUGCACGUUCGUUCUUGUCUCUUUCGUUUCAGGAAUUUUCCUUGUUCACAAAUUGGCACGCCCGGUGGGAUAAUCUCUGCCUCUCAUCUCUUUCUCCGUUCAAGAAAUUCAAGCGCACUUCUAAAAUUAAUGGCAUCAAGGAAGGCUCAUAACUGUUCCCGCAACCGGCACAAAGAACAAAAACGUCCUCGUCGCAACUGGUGUCACUUUGGGCAUCACGACUCGAAGCAUGGCAAGAGCUACUUCUGCCGCCUCUUUCACCUCCGCAUCAACUCUGCCAAGGGAACAAAAGCACCCAAGACACGAGCCUUUGAUCACCUUAGCCUCACUAAGGGCACCAAGGGGGGAAAGCCCAAGGAAAUACUCCAAAUCCAUGCUCUCCGAUGCCGAUUCAAGCGACAGUUCAGCCAUGCAAGUCAUGACCAUUGGAGCAACUUCAAUCGAUGAGCAGCUGGCUCAAAUGAAUGAAGCAAUCGCAAGGCUAACCCGAACUGUGGAAGAAAAAGACUUGCAAAUUGCAGCACUAGUCAACCGAUUGGAGGCGCAAGACGGCGAUAAACCCGACCCAGAGGAUGAUCCACUAAAGGGAGGAGCUGGCGGAGACGAAGAACCCCCGGUGAAGAAAAUCGAUGGGAAGCCGGAGCCAGACCAAGCAGCGGCACUCAUGGGAUCUCUUUCUAUCCAGCAGCUGCAGGAGAUGAUCACCAACACCAUCAAGGCACAGUACGAAGGGAGCUCACAUACCUCAUUGUUCUACUCGAAGCCCUAUUCCAAGAAGAUUGAUGCCCUAAAGAUGCUAAGGGGUUAUCAACCACCAAAGUUCAUGCAGUUUGAUGGAAAAGGAAACCCAAAGCAGCAUGUUGCACAUUUCGUCGAAACUUGCAACAACGCAGGGACGGAGGGAGACUACCUCGCCAAGCAGUUUGUGCGCUCGUUGAAAGGAAAUGCCUUUGAGUGGUACACGGACCUAGAGCCUGAGUCCAUCAACAGCUGGGAGCAAUUAGAACGGGAAUUCCUCAACCGCUUCUCUACAGCACCCGCCGCACUGUGAGCAUGCUAGAGCUAACGAGCACAAAGCAGUGGAAGGACGAGCCAGUCAUUGACUACAUCAACAGAUGGCGCACUCUAAGCCUCGACUGUAAAGACAGGCUCUCGGAAACCUCUUCAAUCGAGAUGUGCAUCCAAGGCAUGCAAUGGGGUUUGCAAUACAUCCUUCAAGGCAUUAAACCGCGGACCUUCGAGGAAUUGGCCACUCGCGCCCAUGACAUGGAGUUGAGCAUCGCCCAUCAUGGGAAGAAAGAACCGAUCGCCGACUACAAGAACGACAAAGCUCUUGGGAUAAAGGUGGAAAAGGCUGCAUGGAAACCCACCAAGGAAGUGAUGACAGUCAACACAUCUCCCGUCAAAAUAUCCACACGAGGCAAGGCAAUUCAAGUCGAAGGCUUUCGUGAUCAAGAGAUGCGUAGACGCACUUUGAAGGAGCUCGAGGAGAAAACUUAUCCAUUCCCCGACUCUGAUGCGGUUGCCAUGUUAGAAGACUUGCUAGAAAAGAAGGUGAUCAGCUUGCCUGAGUGCAGAUGGCCAGAAGAAAUGAAUUGCACCGACAGUCCAAGGUACUGUAAAUUCCACCGCUUCAUCAGUCAUCCGACAGAAAAGUGUUUCGUGCUGAAAGAUCUCAUCAUGAAGCUAGCUCAGAAAGGAAUCAUCGAGCUAGAUCUUGACGAUGUGGGGGAGUCAAACUGUACCACCUUCACUUCUGACUCUUCCGACUCAAAGUUUUCACCUCAACCACUGGGGGCAUCCUCCAAGACAAGCAAAGUAGAAGGAUGGACUCAAGUCACUCCUAAGAAAUUGCACAAGAAGCAUACGUCUCCUCCACAUGUCCGCCAAUCGGAAAGGGGGCAAAGCAGCUCUCGUCAACCUUCAAAGCAACAUGAACGUGUUGAAGAUGAUGAAAUUUCGACACAUAGAUCGUCCAUCCCCAUCACGAUGCGUGAUUUCUUUCCUGAAGACUUCUUCAAUCACUCGGUCAAGGCUCCUUGCUAUGAAGAUUGUGAGGAACGCCUCUCCAAAAUUACUUGACAAAUUCACCAUGCUCCUUGUUCGCACGAGCCUAAACUGCACGAAUCAAAGCUCAUUGUCCACACGAGCCUAAACUGUAGGACACAAAGCUCCUUGUCCGCACGAGCCUAAACUCGUGCCUCGUGCCUGCUUGCCAUGUGUUCGAGUCAACCUUCAAGAAUCAAGCCUCAACGGCCCUUGAAGAAGCUUUCAGCCAAAUUCGAAAUCAAGCCUCGACGGCCCUUGAAGAAAUUCCAAACAAAAGUUCAAGAACAAGCCUCAACGGCCCUUGAAGAAAUCUCAAGCCCAAUUCAAGAUCAAGCCUCGACGGCCCUUGAAGAAAUUUCAAACAAAAGUUCAAGAACAAGCCUCAACGGCCCUUGAAGAAAUCUCAAGCCCAAUUCAAGAUCAAGCCUCAACGGCCCUUGAAGAAAUCUCCAGCCCAAUUCAAGAUCAAGCCUCGACGGCCCUUGGAUCGACAUCUACAGUAAGGGACUUCAAAACGCAUCUCCUACACGUGACAAUCACAUGUAUACGACGUGCUUUGAAGUGGGGGCAUUUGUAGACAUCGAAAUUUCGGUAAAUAAAUGUUGACCGAUAAAUCAAAGUGUCAACGCUCAUGUAUUGCAUAAAUUUUACACGUAGCAUGUGACUCAACGAAAAUUGAAAUGAGUUGGAAAAGUCAUCAAAUAAGACACGUGUCAACACCUGGCAGAAACGACUUAUUUCAUCUGGGAUAUUAUAUUCAAAAUUAGGUCUUGGAAAAUUCUAUAAAUACAAGCCCAUUUCAUUCAUUUGGGGGGACCAAUUCAUUAGGCAAAACUCUUGAAGCUCUGAAGCUCUGAAACUCCGAAGCUCUCAAGCAUCCAGGUUCCCGAAGAAUCAAGAAAGCGUUCUUCGUUCAUCGUUCAUCCUAAGAUCAAGCCCCAACGGCCCUUUGGAUCAACAAUCAUCCACCAAUUCAAGAUCAAGCCCCGACGGCCCUUGAAGAAAGUGUUCUUCGUUCAUUGUUCUUCCAAGAUCAAGCCCCGACGGCCCUUGGAUCAACCAUCCACCAAUUCAAGAUCAAGCCCCGACGGCCCUUGAAGAAAGCACCAUCGUUCAUCAUCCGUUCAUCCAAGAUCAAGCCUCAACGGCCCUUUGGAUCAACAACGUCGACAAAUCCACACAUCCAACCGUUCUUCAAGAUCAAGCCCAAAAGCCCUUGAAGAUCCGUUCAUCACUGUUCUUCAAGAUCAAGCCCAAAAGCCCUUGGAGAUCCGUUCAUCACUGUUCUUCAAAGAUCAAGCCCAAAAGCCCCUUUGAAGAUCCGCUCAAAUCCACAUUCAAGAUCAAGUCCACGGCCCUUGAAGAACGUUCAUCCUUAGAUCAAGCCCAACGGCCCUUUGGAUCAAUCACACAUCCACAAAUACACACCUUACGGAGAUCGAAUUAGAGGAUCAAAUUUGAGAGAGAUUGUAACCCAAAAACAUCAUCAAAUACAUAAUAUUUGUUUGUGCACGUUGUUCUUGUCUCUUUCGUUUCAGAAAUUUUCCUUGUUCACUGGUGAGGCUUAUGUUACUGCUAUGAUUGGUGAGGCUUAUGUUACUGUUGAUGGGUUCGGUUAACUGGGUUUUCAUUCCGUUUCAGAUUUGUUUCGACACACACUUACAGAAAUUUGCAGGAUGCUGUGGUGAUAUUUUCUAUGAUUUAAUCAAAUGAACUAUUUGAUGUCAGUAGUUUGAGGGCUCUGACCGCAACACACAGUAGCAGCAGCGAUGAGGGAGGAGAAGCGGCACCAAUUGAUGCAGAACCUAUUCGGUGAUCAAUCUGAAGAGGAAGAGGAAGAGGUCGACUCUGAGCAUGAGUCCAAUCCCCAGCCCGAUUCUGUAUGAUCCUCUAAUUUCAAGUUUCCUUUCUAUUCUGAUUCCAAAAGCAUGUUUGGGAAUGAUUAGGGUUUCAAUUUCUACUUUAAUCUUAGCUGAAGGAAGAUAUAGGUU
This 24529-nucleotide long non-coding RNA is filed under the name Malus domestica (apple). RNAcentral's name for it is "long non-coding RNA (MDOM_LNC006443)". The record is from RNAcentral. Lineage: Eukaryota; Viridiplantae; Streptophyta; Magnoliopsida; Rosales; Rosaceae.